Long non-coding RNA from Hemibagrus wyckioides, 418 nucleotides. RefSeq lists it as uncharacterized. Lineage: Eukaryota; Metazoa; Chordata; Actinopteri; Siluriformes; Bagridae. The transcript has 3 exons. The record is from RefSeq and is a predicted model, not a curated record.
GCAAGAAACACAGCAGCGCCACUAUCCACCAGCUCUUCCACUUAGUCUGAGCCAUGGUCUUGAUGCAACACAACAAAAGAAAGGAAACCUCAAAGCAUAAGUCCCAAACUGUCUGAGAAUGAUGUCUUCUUCACUGCAGGUUUUAGGGCUUGUAUUGAUGACACCAGUAAGAAUAUGUACGGAGUGGGAGAGACCUGGGUGAACAGCGCAUGGCAAAUAACCCUAACCCUACCCCAAAGGAAAACAAAACGCAGCUGGACGCUGCCAACGUGCAUAGCAGCGCCACUGGAUAAUGAAUCUGGAGAUUUACAAUGACAGAUUUGAGCCACCAUGUUGAACGAUCGUGAUUAAUCAAAUGAUGGGACUCACUUCACACAAUGUCAUGAAAUUAUUCAAUUAACAAUAAAGCAAUACUGAA